GUGCAGCAGGCGAGAAUUUUUCUCAAUGGGGGAAACCCUGAAGGAGCGACGCCGCGUGGAGGAUGAAGGUCUUCGGGUUGUAAACUCCUGUCAUUUGAGAACAAGGUGCACAUGUUAACUGCAUGUGCAUUGAUAGUAUCAGAAGAGGAAGGGACGGCUAACUCUGUGCCAGCAGCCGCGGUAAUACAGAGGUCCCAAGCGUUGUUCGGAUUCAUUGGGCGUAAAGGGUGUGUAGGUGGCGCCGUAAGUCGGGUGUGAAAUCUCGGGGCUUAACUCCGAAACUGCAUUCGAUACUGCGGUGCUUGAGGACUGGAGAGGAGACUGGAAUUCAUGGUGUAGCAGUGAAAUGCGUAGAGAUCAUGAGGAAGACCAGUGGCGAAGGCGGGUCUCUGGACAGUUCCUGACACUGAGACACGAAGGCCAGGGGAGCAAACGGGAUUAGAUACCCGCGUAGU
This 455-nucleotide ribosomal RNA is filed under the name uncultured organism. RNAcentral's name for it is "bacterial SSU rRNA". It matches the Rfam family "Bacterial small subunit ribosomal RNA", at positions 346 to 794 of the family's 1533-position model. The record is from RNAcentral.